AAGUGUUAGGGGGUUUCCGCCCCUUAGUGCUGCAGCUAACGCAUUAAGCACUCCGCCUGGGGAGUACGGUCGCAAGACUGAAACUCAAAGGAAUUGACGGGGGCCCGCACAAGCGGUGGAGCAUGUGGUUUAAUUGGAAGCAACGCGAAGAACCUUACCAGGUCUUGACAUCUUUUGACAACCCUAGAGAUAGGGCUUUCCCUUCGGGGACAGAGUGACAGGUGGUGCAUGGUUGUCGUCAGCUCGUGUCGUGAGAUGUUGGGUUAAGUCCCGCAACGAGCGCAACCCUUGAUCUUAGUUGCCAGCAUUCAGUUGGGCACUUUAAGGUGACUGCCGGUGACAAACCGGAGGAAGGUGGGGAGGACGUCAAAUCAUCAUGCCCCUUAUGACCUGGGCUACACACGUGCUACAAUGGACAGAACAAAGGGCUGCGAGACCGCAAGGUUUAGCCAAUCCCACAAAUCUGUUCUCAGUUCGGAUCGCAGUCUGCAACUCGACUGCGUGAAGCUGGAAUCGCUAGUAAUCGCGGAUCAGCAUGCCGCGGUGAAUACGUUCCCGGGCCUUGUACACACCGCCCGUCACACCACGAGAGUUUGCAACACCCGAAGUCGGUGAGGUAACCUU
RNAcentral lists this ribosomal RNA (624 nucleotides) under Bacillus sp. MAL 11. RNAcentral's name for it is "bacterial SSU rRNA". It matches the Rfam family "Bacterial small subunit ribosomal RNA", at positions 818 to 1442 of the family's 1533-position model. The record is from RNAcentral. Lineage: Bacteria; Bacillati; Bacillota; Bacilli; Caryophanales; Bacillaceae.